UAGCAAACAUUAUUGUGCAUUGGCCACAAC
RNAcentral lists this non-coding RNA (30 nucleotides) under Mus musculus (house mouse). Lineage: Eukaryota; Metazoa; Chordata; Mammalia; Rodentia; Muridae. The record is from RNAcentral.